This 1137-nucleotide long non-coding RNA is filed under the name Pogona vitticeps (central bearded dragon). Its description in RNAcentral is "lncRNA (ENSPVIG00000007906.1)". The record is from RNAcentral. Lineage: Eukaryota; Metazoa; Chordata; Lepidosauria; Squamata; Agamidae.
UAACACAUGCUCUCCUUUUUUUGGUGAUCUGUAAGUGGCCACCCUAAGGGACUUGUGCUCAGUCAACCUAUUGAGAGAUAACAUGCAUUUCACACAGUGAAAGAUUCUUUGCCUCGCCUUUCUAAAACGCCUCACACGUACACCCGUUACCGAGCAACAGGAAGAGGACAAGAAGAGAGUGCAGAGAGAAGAUGAGAGAGAGAAGGAUGUUAACUCGAGUAAACUGGCUGCAAGAAGCUAAAGAGAAGGAAGGCCACUCUUCCACCAACCCUCUUGAGAAGGUCCUACUUCAUCAGGCUGCUGCAGAGGAGGAAGCAGGCUCACUCCACCACCUCACCUUGAACUCCAGCAAAACGUGCCUUUUCUUCCUUCACUUGCUUUAGGCUGCUUCCAUUCUAAUGGGUUGUGAUAAGAAGACCAAUCAAAGUUGGUUGUAUUACACCUGAUCAUGAAGUACAAGAACAUUAUAACACUUAGUUCCGGUGCCUGAAUUGUUUUUAUUUUUCAUCCCUUAUUUCUCUUGUGUUAUAGGGCUAAAACCAAGUUUUGGUCAAUCCAAGUUGAGUAGGCGAGUUAAAUGAAUGGCACACGUUAAGUCAAAAUUCAUGUAAGUCUUAUUGAUUCAGUCAGUCUACUCUGGCUGGGACUAACAACUAGAUUAAACCCUCAUCUGUUUAGAUUGCCAAUCCCAGGGACGGGACCGUCUUCUCUUUUUUUAUUAUGUACAAUUGCAAUUGGAGCUUCGAAAGCCAAAGAGUGUGGUAUAAAAAUAUAACUAAAUGUAGCAAGUUUUCCCUAGUGUUAUCAGUUUCAUUAGCUGUCAUUUGCAGGAACCUUAUGAUAUGAAGUUAUCACAUUAUGUACCUAGAUGUUAUCAGAGGAGAAAGAAGGAGACCUGGGGCUGUUGGUUCCACUAUCUGCAUUUGGCCUAAGAACACUAGCUUCAGCACAAAUUGUGCAAGAGCAAAGAAGUCUCCUUUCAGUUGCUAAUGUGCUUUUAAUUCCAUACACAGCCAAUUAAAAUGAACUCUGUGAUGCAAAUCUGCCCUGAUGUCAUAGUGACCAUCUUGGAACACCAAAUCCCUCAAUUCAUCAGGUUAAAUGAAUUUGGGGAUAUUAAAUCCCACCAGUGCCAAU